Molecule: ribosomal RNA, 307 nt
Filed under: uncultured bacterium
Lineage: Bacteria
Description: partial 16S ribosomal RNA
Rfam family: Bacterial small subunit ribosomal RNA
Source: RNAcentral
AGACAGCAGUAGCCGCGGUAAUACGAAGGGGGCUAGCGUUGUUCGGAUUUACUGGGCGUAAAGCGCACGUAGGCGGACUUUUAAGUCAGGGGUGAAAUCCCGGGGCUCAACCCCGGAACUGCCUUUGAUACUGGAAGUCUUGAGUAUGGUAGAGGUGAGUGGAAUUCCGAGUGUAGAGGCGAAAUUCGUAGAUAUUCGGAGGAACACCAGUGGCGAAGGCGGCUCACUGGACCAUUACUGACGCUGAGGUGCGAAAGCGUGGGGAGCAAACAGGAUUAGAUACCCGCGUAGUCCCUGUCUCUUAUCC